Molecule: ribosomal RNA, 460 nt
Filed under: uncultured bacterium
Lineage: Bacteria
Description: partial 16S ribosomal RNA
Rfam family: Bacterial small subunit ribosomal RNA
Source: RNAcentral
CCUACGGUGCGCAGCAGUGAGGAAUAUUGGUCACUGGGCGCUAGCCUGAACCAGCCAAGUAGCGUGAAGGAUGACUGCCCUAUGGGUUGUAAACUUCUUUUAUAUGGGACUAAAGUGCGGUAUGUAUACUGCUUUGCAUGUACCUUAUGAAUACGGAUCGGCUAACUCCGUGCCAGCAGCCGCGGUAAUACGGAGGAUCCGAGCGUUAGCGGGAUGUAUUGCGGUUAAAGGGAGCGUAGGCGGGUUGUUAAGUCAGUUGUGAAAGUUUGCGGCUCAACCGUAAAAUUGCAGUUGAUACUGGCAUCCUUGAGUACAGGAGAGGUAGGCGGAAUUCGUGGGGUAGCGGUGAAAUGCGUAGAUAUCACGAAGAACUCCGAUUGCGAAGGCAGCCUGCUGGACUGUAACUGACGCUGAUGCGCGAAAGUGUGGGUAUCAAACAGGAUUAGAUACCCUGGUAGUC